UACGGAGGGUGCAAGCGUUGUCCGGAUUUACUGGGUGUAAAGGGCGUGUAGGCGGAGUGAUGUGUCGGGAGUGAAAUCGUGCGGCUUAACCGUAUCAAUUGCUUCCGAAACUGUCACCCUUGAGUACUGGAGGGGCAGAUGGAAUUCCUGGUGUAGCGGUGGAAUGCGUAGAUAUCAGGAAGAACACCGGUGGCGAAGGCGGUCUGCUGGCUGGUUACUGACGCUGAGGCGCGAAAGUGCGGGGAGCAAACAGG
This 254-nucleotide ribosomal RNA is filed under the name uncultured bacterium. Its description in RNAcentral is "partial 16S ribosomal RNA". It matches the Rfam family "Bacterial small subunit ribosomal RNA", at positions 524 to 776 of the family's 1533-position model. The record is from RNAcentral.